This 790-nucleotide ribosomal RNA is filed under the name uncultured bacterium. RNAcentral's name for it is "bacterial SSU rRNA". It matches the Rfam family "Bacterial small subunit ribosomal RNA", at positions 636 to 1426 of the family's 1533-position model. The record is from RNAcentral.
UNUGACUUGAGUGCAGAAGGGGAGAGUGGAAUUCCAUGUGUAGCGGUGAAAUGCGUAGAUAUAUGGAGGAACACCAGUGGCGAAAGCGGCUCUCUGNUCUGUCACUGACGCUGAGGCUCGAAAGCGUGGGUAGCGAACAGGAUUAGAUACCCUGGUAGUCCACGCCGUAAACGGUGAGUGCUAGGUGUUAGGCCCUUUCCGGGGCUUAGUGCCGGAGCUAACGCAAUAAGCACUCCGCCUGGGGAGUACGACCGCAAGGUUGAAACUCAAAGGAAUUGACGGGGGCCCGCACAAGCGGUGGAGCAUGUGGUUUAAUUCGAAGCAACGCGAAGAACCUUACCAGGUCUUGACAUCCCGAUGCUAUUCUUAGAGAUAGGAAGUUACUUCGGUACAUCGGAGGCAGGUGGUGCAUGGUUGUCGUCAGCUCGUGUCGUGAGAUGUUGGGUUAAGUCCCGCAACGAGCGCAACCCUUAUUGUUAGUUGCCAUCAUUAAGUUGGGCACUCUAGCGAGACUGCCGGUAAUAAACCGGAGGAAGGUGGGGAUGACGUCAAAUCAUCAUGCCCCUUAUGACCUGGGCUACACACGUGCUACAAUGGUCGGUACAACGAGUUGCGAGCCGGUGACGGCAAGCUAAUCUCUGAAAGCCGAUCUCAGUUCGGAUUGGAGGCUGCAACUCGCCUCCAUGAAGUCGGAAUCGCUAGUAAUCGCGGAUCAGCACGCCGCGGUGAAUACGUUCCCGGGCCUUGUACACACCGCCCGUCACACCACGAGAGUUUGUAACACCCGAAG